RNA transcript from Leptopilina boulardi, 1279 nucleotides. RefSeq lists it as uncharacterized. The transcript has 3 exons. NCBI's taxonomy places the organism in Eukaryota, Metazoa, Arthropoda, Insecta, Hymenoptera, Figitidae. The record is from RefSeq and is a predicted model, not a curated record.
GGAAUGUCGUUAUCGGGUGAGAUCAUCUUUCGAGUCAAGAAUAGUAGAAAAAUGGUGUGGUAGUAAAAAAAAAGGGGGAAGAAAAAAGUGUGAGCUUAUCCACUUGAUGCGAUCUUGUGAAAUAAGAAACAAUUUACAGUCGCAAAUUAUUUAUCUUCAUUUACAAAUAUUUAAUUAUUUUACUAUAACAUUUCUAAACUUUUGAUUAAUUUUGUAAAAAAAAAAAUCUCAUUUUUGAAAAUUAAAAAAAACAAACAUUCUUUACGAGAUAUAUUGAAACAUAACCAUAUUGUGACAAAUAAAAAAUUGUAUACAACAAAAUGUCAAAAUUAAGAGGUUAAUAGAAUAAAAUACAAAAAAAAAAAAGGUUUUUACUUUCAAAAAGUAAAGAAAAGGAAAUGGUUUUUAAUCCUCUUAUUAAAGUUGGCAAAACUGCCGCGGGACUUCCACUUUUAUCUCUAUUAAUACAAGUUUGUAAACGAUUAACAAUACCAGUAUCACGACAAAUUAUAAAAUAUGGCAAAUCACAUCCAUUUUUUCGAAAAAAUUUUUUAAUUAUGCCCGGCCGUUAUUAUCAUCAAUUGGAAAUAAGAUCAAAAUCACUUUUUGAACAAAAUGAAAUUAUUAAAAAACAAGAGGAAAAAUUUCCACUAUUGGAUGAUUUAGCUGCAGAAGCAAUUGGAACACAAAUAAUGAUUGAGUGUGCAGCUUUGUUAAUUUUUGUAUGGCUCUCAAUGUCUGAAUCAAAAGCAAAAUCAUUGUCAUCUGAGAAUAAAAGGCUCAACGAUCUUGAUGAUAUGAAAAAUUGGAAAAAUGAAUUGGAACGAAAAGUUGAGGAACAGAGAAACACCAUUCAGGAUAUACUCAUGAAAGUUGAAAACAUAUUGUCAUAAACUUUUUAACUUUUCUCCGGAAAUCUUUAUCCAACGGUUCAUUUCCGCUUUUGGAAAUUCUCAUAUAUUCCUAGCAAUAGGGGAAAAACGGCUUACAAAAAAAAAUACAUAAGUAUGAGAGAGAAUAUAUUAUUGGAAUAUCCAUUGAGUCGAAGCAGCCAAAUAUAGAGAAGGAAAAUUAGCAUGAGUUUGCAUAGUGAUACACUUUUAUUUUAUCUAAUAUUAUAUAUAUACGCUAUGCAUUGGAAUCUGAAGCAGCAAUAUCCUCUAAAUUAUUUUAUGCGCCUUUGAGAAUAAAAGAAUUCAGAAUUAUAUAUUUUUGCCGAGAGAGAGAGAGAGAGGAUAUCAAACUGGUUUUUCUAUAAAAGACGAUGAUUUCCUUUAAA